CAUGUUCAAAAGAAAAAGGUUUUGAAAUUGGAAGGACGUUAUUAUGAUGUGUAUCAGCAUAGCAAAGGACAAUAAGCUGUUUAUACGAAGAUGCAGAAGAAUUCAACGAAAAUUGGAUAGGAGACGACGUGUACAUGGAGGAAAGGAUUUAAAGAGAGGAUCGAAGAAGGAGAAUGGUCAACCUCGCAAGCCAGGUAUCUUAAUCUAACAAUUAUUUACUAAAGUGGAGGAG
Molecule: non-coding RNA, 232 nt
Organism: Paramuricea clavata
Lineage: Eukaryota; Metazoa; Cnidaria; Anthozoa; Malacalcyonacea; Plexauridae
Source: the annotation of a GenBank genome assembly